This is a long non-coding RNA of Homo sapiens (human), 1408 nucleotides long. Ensembl annotates it as long intergenic non-protein coding RNA 2492. The record is from Ensembl. Lineage: Eukaryota; Metazoa; Chordata; Mammalia; Primates; Hominidae.
GGAUCAUCUGCUGUGGGUGUUCCUGAUCUUUGAGCCAUGAUAAUGUUACUGGUUGGAUGUCAGGAGCAGGCCAUGUGGAUGAUUAAAAGAUGAAUAUCAUAUACAGCAUGGAUAUGUUGGACAAAAAGAUGAUUCACAUCCCAGACAGAAUGGAGCAGCACAUUUAUUAAAAGCCAGAAGCUAGAAGACGAGGAAAGAAGAGGUGGUUAAAGAAAGAUACAGUAACAGCAGUAAUAUCUAACAGGAAGGCUACAGGGGAAAAUACAGAAAUUCCAUAAAGAACAAACACUGUAACUCAAAACCAAAGCUUUGCUAGUCACUAGUGCCCGCUACAUCCUAACAGAUGCAGCUGGAGAGCCUGGGGUGAGAACAUGAGCAGUCUAUAAUCAGAAAAUCCCUUUGGGAUAAAUUGACAAAAAUAUAAACCACUCCACAAAGGAGAAAUUGUAAAUGAGUUGUUAUGUAAAACCUCCCAGCGAAAGAAAUAGUCCAGAAAGCUUGAAGAGAAACUGAAAUUUGAAAAAUCUACCUAAAAAGGUGAUAAAGGAUUUUCAGUUUUGCAAAAAACGCAAUACAGAGUGUCUUUGGAAAGAAAGUUCUCAUAUGGAUUUAAAAUAUGAUUCAAUUUACAGAAGUCAGAGUUGUUCUUCCAGAUGGCAUGAAUCCAACAGUGAAGAAAUCAGAAUACGUUGCUUUUGUGAGGGGCAGCUGCUGAUUUUCUCUGAGCUCCGUUUCCAGCCUUCACAUGCUCUGCUAUUCAUCACAGGGUAAAUUCUGACUAUAGGAGGUACUGACAGAAGAUUAGGGAAGAACAGAGGGCUAAAUGUUUAUUGACUUCUUGAAAAAUGCUAUGUGUCUUGCCAGACUUAGCUUACAAGUUUGGUUAAAGAGAGACUGACAUGAGCAUAAAGGAAGGGACAUUGAAAGAGGCAGAGAUGAAGGAAGAAAUUGUAACUUACUCCUUUUAUCCCACCCAUCAAAGGAAAGACAAGUUGACAUUCCCAGGGUGGAUGGAUCCAGGCAGGACAGGAUCAGAAGUUGCAGUCUUAAUUGCACCAACUCACGCAUGUCACCAGCCGAGUAGUAUUGAUUCUGCAACAAACUGAGAAGAAACCUGGCGAUUCACAACAGAGAGCUGAGAAAUCCUAAGUCUGGAUUCCAGCUAAAUGGGAGCAGACUAAAUAGAGCGGCAGUCGGCGAACUACAUGUAGCCCAUGAACAAAAUCCGGUCCAGCACGUGUGUUUUUUUUUACGGCCCACAAAUGAGUCUGUCUUUACAGAUGAAUGUUAAAACUGGGUUGACAAGAGAGAACACUCACUUUGAACCGCAACUAAACAAAAUAUUAUCACCUUUCCCCUCAAAAAAGGUUUUUGUUCUUCUCAUUAGUAAAUUUGUAUUAUGACAAAA